RNAcentral lists this ribosomal RNA (253 nucleotides) under uncultured bacterium. Its description in RNAcentral is "partial 16S ribosomal RNA". It matches the Rfam family "Bacterial small subunit ribosomal RNA", at positions 524 to 776 of the family's 1533-position model. The record is from RNAcentral.
UACGUAGGGUGCGAGCGUUGUCCGGAAUUAUUGGGCGUAAAGGGCUCGUAGGCGGUCUGUCACGUCGGGAGUGAAAACACGGGGCUUAACCCCGUGCCUGCUUCCGAUACGGGCAGACUAGAGGUAUGCAGGGGAGAACGGAAUUCCUGGUGUAGCGGUGGAAUGCGCAGAUAUCAGGAGGAACACCGGUGGCGAAGGCGGGUCUCUGGGCAGUAACUGACGCUGAGGAGCGAAAGCGUGGGGAGCGAACAGG